UGUGGUCUCUCUCUGCCCAGU
This 21-nucleotide microRNA is filed under the name Columba livia (rock pigeon). RNAcentral describes it as "cli-miR-9626-3p". The record is from miRBase by way of RNAcentral. Lineage: Eukaryota; Metazoa; Chordata; Aves; Columbiformes; Columbidae.